AUUGAACGCUGGCGGCAGGCCUAACACAUGCAAGUCGAAUGGUAACAGGAAACAGCUUGCUGUUUCGCUGACGAGUGGCGGACGGGUGAGUAAUGUCUGGGAAACUGCCUGAUGGAGGGGGAUAACUACUGGAAACGGUAGCUAAUACCGCAUAACGUCGCAAGCCCAAAGAGGGGGACCUUCGGGCCUCUUGCCAUCAGAUGUGCCCAGAUGGGAUUAGCUAGUAGGUGGGGUAACGGCUCACCUAGGCGACGAUCCCUAGCUGGUCUGAGAGGAUGACCAGCCACACUGGAACUGAGACACGGUCCAGACUCCUACGGGAGGCAGCAGUGGGGAAUAUUGCACAAUGGGCGCAAGCCUGAUGCAGCAAUGCCGCGUGUAUGAAGAAGGCCUUCGGGUUGUAAAGUACUUUCAGCGGGGAGGAAGGGAGUAAAGUUAAUACCUGUGCUCAUUGACGUUACCCGAAGAAGAAGCACCGGCUAACUACGUG
This 490-nucleotide ribosomal RNA is filed under the name uncultured bacterium. Its description in RNAcentral is "partial 16S ribosomal RNA". It matches the Rfam family "Bacterial small subunit ribosomal RNA", at positions 30 to 507 of the family's 1533-position model. The record is from RNAcentral.